UAAUAGUUUCACUGACAUGGGCUAGGCCAAACUCCUACCAAAGUGUUGCUCAUUCAAAAUUUGUAUGAACAGACUAGAUCGGUAAUCUAAUAUUUGUAUGCAUAUGACAAAUAUGAUCCAUGAUCUUUAACUUGAAUCUUCAAAUGAUUUUAGCUACUUCCAAUUUCGGUGUGGUCGCAUUGUUGAUCGCGUUGAAACUGCAUAUGCUAAUGUAGAUCCGACUUGAGUCUCGAGUUUGUAGGUAUGGAGUUGAUUCACCUCUCUAUUGGUUUCUGGCUCUUUGAAUAUAUGUUUCUGUUGCCUCAAUAUUACAUCAUUUAUUUCUGGCAAAUCAAUGUGAUCAUAUAUGAGGAGGACCAUUUUGCAACAAAGAAUUUACAGGUGUUCCCAUUGAAUUAAGAGAUAGAGUUAUAUGUUUGUCAUUCGUGUGUACUAACACCUACUGCUACUCAUGAUUUUGAUGGUGGAGCAAUGUGGGGUCUGUUGACCCUUAAGCAUAGGGGGGAGCACAAUGGCGGUUGCAGGCCUCCACCACUUUUGCGCUUCAAAAUAAGAGCUUAGUUGCGGUCGAUGAAGAAGCAUCUCCUUAGAAGUGGAACUGCCUCCCUUAGGCACCAUGGCUGGGAGGAAAUCGAUGAGCCUGUGAAGUACCGUUCCUCUAAAUGGCCUUGUGCACGUAUCUGUUUCACUUCAAUCUCAGGCAUUAUCUCAUGUUUGCUAGAUAUAAGGACCUGUUAGCACGCCGGGUUUAUUGCGUUCAGUAUUAUCAUGUUGUAAUACAUUAUGAUAUUUCUGAUUUGUUUUGAAUUUUCGUAGUGAGUUACGAAUUA
Lolium rigidum is the source of this 830-nucleotide long non-coding RNA. RefSeq lists it as uncharacterized. The transcript has 2 exons. The record is from RefSeq and is a predicted model, not a curated record. NCBI's taxonomy places the organism in Eukaryota, Viridiplantae, Streptophyta, Magnoliopsida, Poales, Poaceae.